GACGAACGCUGGCGGCGUGCUUAACACAUGCAAGUCGAGCGGAAAGGCCCUUCGGGGUACUCGAGCGGCGAACGGGUGAGUAACACGUGAGUAAUCUGCCCCUGGCUUCGGGAUAGCCACCGGAAACGGUGAUUAAUACCGGAUAUGACUACUUCCUGCAUGGGUUGUGGUGGAAAGUUUUUCGGCCAGGGAUGUGCUCGCGGCCUAUCAGCUUGAUGGUGAGGUAAUGGCUCACCAUGGCUUCGACGGGUAGCCGGCCUGAGAGGGUGACCGGCCACACUGGGACUGAGACACGGCCCAGACUCCUACGGGAGGCAGCAGUGGGGAAUAUUGGACAAUGGGCGGAAGCCUGAUCCAGCAACGCCGCGUGAGGGAUGACGGCCUUCGGGUUGUAAACCUCUUUCAGUACCGACGAAGCGCAAGUGACGGUAGGUACAGAAGAAGCACCGGCCAACUACGUGCCAGCAGCCGCAGUAACAC
Molecule: ribosomal RNA, 480 nt
Filed under: uncultured bacterium
Lineage: Bacteria
Description: bacterial SSU rRNA
Rfam family: Bacterial small subunit ribosomal RNA
Source: RNAcentral